ACUCUACGGGAGGCAGCAGUGGGGAAUAUUGCACAAUGGGGGAAACCCUGAUGCAGCCAUGCCGCGUGUGUGAAGAAGGCCUUCGGUUGUAAAGCACUUUCAGUAGGGAGGAAGGUAGUGUAGUUAACACCUGCAUUAUUUGACGUUACCUACAGAAGAAGCACCGGCUAACUCCGUGCCAGCAGCCGCGGUAAUACGGAGGGUGCGAGCGUUAAUCGGAAUUACUGGGCGUAAAGCGCAUGCAGGCGGCCUGUUAAGUCAGAUGUGAAAGCCCGGGGCUUAACCUCGGAAUUGCAUUUGAAACUGGCAGGCUAGAGUCUUGUAGAGGGGGUAGGAAUUUCAGGUGUAGCGGUGAAAUGCGUAGAGAUCUGAAGGAAUACCAGUGGCGAAGGCGGCCCCCUGGACAAAGACUGACGCUCAGAUGCG
RNAcentral lists this ribosomal RNA (426 nucleotides) under uncultured bacterium. RNAcentral's name for it is "bacterial SSU rRNA". It matches the Rfam family "Bacterial small subunit ribosomal RNA", at positions 335 to 755 of the family's 1533-position model. The record is from RNAcentral.